CCCUUAGAUGUUCUGGGCCGCACGCGCGCUACACUGAUGCAUUCAACGAGCCUAUCCUUGACCGACAGGUCCGGGUAAUCUUUGAAUCUGCAUCGUGACGGGGAUAGAUUAUUGCAAUUAUUAAUCUUCAACGAGGAAUGCCUAGUAGGCGCAAGUCAUCAGCUUGCGUCGAUUACGUCCCUGCCCUUUGUACACACCGCCCGUCGCUCCUACCGAUUGAAUGUUCCGAUGAAUACCAUGGACUGAGAGUAUGAAUGGGUUCGCCUAUUUCUGCUUCUCGGGAAGUGGAGUAAAUCUUAACAUUUAGAGGAAGGAGAAGUCGUAACA
This 327-nucleotide ribosomal RNA is filed under the name uncultured eukaryote. RNAcentral's name for it is "partial 18S ribosomal RNA". It matches the Rfam family "Eukaryotic small subunit ribosomal RNA", at positions 1470 to 1796 of the family's 1831-position model. The record is from RNAcentral.